Onthophagus taurus is the source of this 851-nucleotide non-coding RNA. Lineage: Eukaryota; Metazoa; Arthropoda; Insecta; Coleoptera; Scarabaeidae. The record is from RefSeq and is a predicted model, not a curated record.
GAAGAAGUGUAGAAGAGGUUAUCGGCAUACUAGACAUGAUUUUCGGGUUAUUUCGGUAAAAGACCUUUGGUGUUAAUAUUAAACUUAACGUUUAUUUCGUAUUGGAGUGUGAUGAGUUAGAAAAUUUAAUUUUUGCCGCUUGAGCUUUACGUUUUGGUUGCGAGCGGUUUUAACCUGAAUCAUUGGAUUGGUAGGAGAAAAUGACAGGACCGGCUUGGCCUAAAUGUUGCUUACGAACGGAUUUGGAUGUAAGUGAAUACAAAAUGAGUUCUUUGAGUGUUGAUUAGAAAUUUAACACGAAGUCGACUGCGGCUGAAUUCGGAUCUGUGGUUUGGAGCUUGCAGACUUCACUGGUUCGGAGUAUCCAAGAAUUACGAAUGUGCCGGAGUGUGCGCAGUUUAUUGACAUUGCAUUCUACAGCCAGUUAGUUUGAUGGUGCACGCCAAGAUGGAAGAUGCGUGUUGAACAGUAAAGCCGAACAUGUGUGUUUUUCUAUAUAUAAAAGUGGGGGAGACUGUCCUGAGUGCGAAUCCGGUGCCCGAAAUCGCGACAAUAAUGGCUGUAUUGAGUUCACGCCUUGGAUUUUCGAUCCGAAUUUAUUAAAUACAAAAAAUAAUAAAAGGGAAAAAGGAACUAGGUAAAAAAAUAUGGAUGGACAACGUGCAGUGGAACUAAUGCCCCUUUUACAAGAACGUUUGGUCGUACUAACAGGAGGCCGGGAUAGACGCGGAGGGCCAGUCCUAUCGUUUCCUGCUAGUCCUAGAAGGGAACGUGCUAAACCAGAGGACUACCGCCGUCUUCUACAGUACCUCAUGUCUAUACCGAAGUAAGAUUAUACUCUUUUUUUUUAU